CAGCCGCCGCGGUAAUACGGAGGGGGCAAGCGUUAUCCGGAAUUAUUGGGCGUAAAGGGUACGUAGGUGGCCUUUUAAGCGUAGGGUAUAAGGCAAUGGCUCAACCAUUGUUCGCCCUAUGAACUGGAAGGCUUGAGUGCAGGAGAGGAAAGCGGAAUUCCUAGUGUAGCGGUGGAGUGCAUAGAUAUUAGGAGGAACAUCAGCGGCGAAGGCGGCUUUCUGGACUGCAACUGACACUGAGGUACGAAAGCGUGGGGAGCAAACAGGAUUAGAUACCCCGGUAGUCCCUGUCUCUUAUACA
This 301-nucleotide ribosomal RNA is filed under the name uncultured bacterium. Its description in RNAcentral is "partial 16S ribosomal RNA". It matches the Rfam family "Bacterial small subunit ribosomal RNA", at positions 509 to 808 of the family's 1533-position model. The record is from RNAcentral.